RNAcentral lists this ribosomal RNA (132 nucleotides) under Simulium aureohirtum. Its description in RNAcentral is "partial 28S ribosomal RNA". It matches the Rfam family "Eukaryotic large subunit ribosomal RNA", at positions 1 to 125 of the family's 3401-position model. The record is from RNAcentral. Lineage: Eukaryota; Metazoa; Arthropoda; Insecta; Diptera; Simuliidae.
UUAUACAUAGCCUCAACUCAUGUGAGACUACCCCCUGAAUUUAAGCAUAUUAAUAAGGGGAGGAAAAGAAACUAAAUAGGAUUCUCCUAGUAGCGGCGAGCGAAAAGGGAAAAGUCCAGCACGUAGAAUCGA